This 2829-nucleotide ribosomal RNA is filed under the name Triticum aestivum (bread wheat). RNAcentral describes it as "partial small subunit ribosomal RNA". The record is from RNAcentral. Lineage: Eukaryota; Viridiplantae; Streptophyta; Magnoliopsida; Poales; Poaceae.
AUGCUGCUCUCCUUCGCCCAGCCCCGCCUGCUACCCCGCCUCCCCUCCCCGGCGACCGCCACCGCGACCACUGCCCGGCCUCGCGCCCCGCGCCGCGCGCUCUCCUCGGCCGCCAAAACCGCCGCCGCAGGCCGGCUCCGCGCGGUGGUCUCCGAGCGGGCCGUUGAAGGGAUGGCGCCGGCGGCGGCGGGGCAGGAGGGGCGGCCGCUCCGGGUGGGGCUCGUGUGCGGCGGGCCCUCCGCCGAGCGGGGCAUCUCGCUCAACUCCGCGCGCUCCGUGCUCGAUCACAUCCAGGGCGAGGACUUGUUGGUGAGCUGCUACUACAUCGACUGCGGCAUGAACGCGUUCGCGAUCUCGCCCGCGCAGCUGUAUUCCAACACCCCUUCCGAUUUCGAUUUCAAGCUUGAAAGUCUAGCACAAGAAUUUUCCACCCUAUCUGAAUUUGCGGAACAUCUUGCUGCCAAUGUUGACAUUGUCUUCCCGGUGAUACAUGGAAAAUUUGGUGAAGAUGGUGGUAUUCAGGAGCUUUUGGAGAAAGCAAAUGUUCCAUUUGUUGGGACGCCCUCUAAUGAAUGCCUCCGUGCUUUUGACAAGCAUAAUGCAUCGCUCGAGCUCGACGCUCAAGGUUUCUUAACAGUACCAAACUUUCUUGUAGAGAAGGAUAAAUUGGCCACGUCAGAAUUGGAGGAAUGGUUUAGAAGCAUCAAUUUGAAUAAAGAAAAUGGCAAAGUGAUUGUCAAACCUACGAGAGCUGGAUCAAGUAUCGGCGUAGUUGUCGCUUAUGGUGCUAAUGAGGCAGCUGAGAAAGCCGAGGGAAUAUUUUCAGAGGGAAUUGAUAAUAAGGUUAUCAUAGAAGUUUUUCUUGAAGGGGGCUGUGAGUUUACAGCCAUUGUUCUUGACGUUGGGACAGCUAAUAAUAGUGAGCCUAUCGUUUUGCUUCCAACGGAAGUUGAGCUUCAGUCAUCAAUUUCUAGUGAUAUUCAGGAGGAUACAAUAUUUAACUACCGUAGGAAGUACCUUCCAACUCAACAGGUUGCGUAUCAUACACCUCCACGGUUUCCGGCAGAGGUGAUAGAUUGCAUAAGAAAAGGAGUAUCCCUUUUAUUUCGCCACUUUGGCCUGCGUGACUUCGCUAGGAUAGAUGGUUGGUUCUUGCCAAGUCCUGCUACUUCUCUGCCCUCGUCUGAAAAUGGUGUUAAAUUUGGAAAUACAGAGUAUGGUGCUGUCCUUUUCACUGAUAUUAACUUGAUAAGUGGGAUGGAGCAAACCAGUUUCUUAUUUCAACAAGCUUCAAAGGUUGGAUUCUCUCACUCUCGAAUCCUCCGUACAAUUGUUCAGCAUGCUUGCUCACGAUUUCCUUCCCUUGUUACAAGCAAUAAUGCAUGGACUGCUUUAUCCAGAAAAAUGCAAUCAGCAAAACAAGCAUUGAUAAUCCCGAAUGGUACAUGCAAGCAGAAGGCUUUUGUGAUAUUUGGUGGCGAUACUUCAGAGCGGCAAGUAUCUCUUAUGAGUGGCACAAAUGUCUGGCUUAAUUUGCAAGGCUUCGAUGAUCUUGAUGUGACACCGUGCUUGCUUGCACCUUCGAAUGGAUAUUCUUCCCACAACGAAGAUUUUAGCGAAAGUUCACGCGACGUUUGGACACUGCCAUAUUCAUUAGUGUUACGGCAUACCACUGAAGAAGUUCAUGCUGCAUGUUUUGAAGCAAUUGAACCAGAGCGGGUUGAAAUAACAUCUCGCUUACGUAAUCAAGUAAUGAAAGAACUUGAACGAGCAUUAAGCAAGCAAGAUUGGUUUGCGGGCUUUGACAUCACUGAUGAACAACCUAUCAAAUACUCUCUGCAACAGUGGAUUGAUUAUGUUAAAGAAGCUAAAGCUGUAGUGUUCAUAGCAGUUCAUGGUGGUAUUGGGGAGGAUGGUACCAUUCAAUCGCUGUUGGAAUCUGCAGGAGUUCCUUACACAGGGCCAGGGCCAAUAGCUUCUAGAACAUGCAUGGACAAAGUUGCAACUUCACUUGCCGUUGAUCAUUUGGCUAGUUAUGGCAUUCACACUAUACCAAAGGAUGUAAGAGCAAGAGAAGAGCUACUAAAGUCAUCUCUUGUUGAUAUCUGGAAUGACCUGAAAGCAAAAUUACAAACAGAAACGGUAUGUGUGAAACCUGCUCGUGAUGGAUGCUCAACUGGUGUGGCAAGAUUGCGAUGUCCAGAGGACCUAGAAGUCUAUGCAAAUGCACUGAGGGGAACGCUUCCGCGUCUGCCUGCUAACUGUCUAUCCAAGGCACAUGGAGUUAUUGAGAUGCCAGUCCCUCCUCCGGAGUCACUGAUAUUCGAACCAUUUAUCGAAACCGACGAAAUUAUUAUCUCAAAUAAAUCGUGGAAUGAUAGUACCCGCCAUCUGGUAUGGAAGGGUGAAAAUGAGUGGCUUGAAGUGACCGUUGGUGUUGUUGGGAAGCGUGGGGAGAUGCAUUCACUAAAUCCAAGUAUCACAGUCAAGGAAAGUGGUGAUAUUUUGUCUCUUGAAGAGAAAUUUCAAGGGGGAACUGGAAUCAACUUGACACCACCUCCAGCAACAAUCAUGAGUGAGGAUGCGCUACAGAAAUGCAAAAGUUGUAUCGAGAUGACGGCGAACACAUUAGGUCUGGAGGGCUUUUCACGCAUCGACGCAUUUGUUAAUGUGCACAGCGGAGAGGUGCUGUUGAUAGAAGUAAAUACCGUACCUGGGAUGACUCCCUCCACUGUCCUGAUUCACCAGGCACUCACGGAAGAACCACCCAUCUACCCUCACAAGUUCUUCAGAACGCUCCUCGAUCUGGCGUUUGCAAGAGCAGGCUAG